UGAGUAAUGUCUGGGAAACUGCCUGAUGGAGGGGGAUAACUACUGGAAACGGUAGCUAAUACCGCAUAACGUCGCAAGACCAAAGAGGGGGACCUUCGGGCCUCUUGCCAUCAGAUGUGCCCAGAUGGGAUUAGCUAGUAGGUGGGGUAACGGCUCACCUAGGCGACGAUCCCUAGCUGGUCUGAGAGGAUGACCAGCCACACUGGAACUGAGACGCGGUCCAGACUCCUACGGGAGGCAGCAUG
RNAcentral lists this ribosomal RNA (245 nucleotides) under uncultured bacterium. Its description in RNAcentral is "partial 16S ribosomal RNA". It matches the Rfam family "Bacterial small subunit ribosomal RNA", at positions 107 to 353 of the family's 1533-position model. The record is from RNAcentral.